AACGAACGCUGGCGGCAGGCCUAAAACAUGCAAGUCGAGCGAGGACUUCGGUCCUAGCGGCGGACGGGUGAGUAACGCGUGGGGACGUGCCCUUUGCUUCGGAAUAGCCCUGGGAAACUGGGAGCAAUACCGGAGGAGCCCUAGGGGGGAAAGAUUUAUCGGCGAAGGUUCGGCCCGCGUUGGAUUAGGAAGUUGGGGGGGUAAUGGCCGACCAAGCCGACGAUACAUAGAUGGUUUGAGAGGCUGAUCAGCAACACUGGGACUGAGACACGGCCCAGACUCCUACGCGAGGCGGCAGUGCGGAAUCGUAGACAAUGGUGGGAGCCCUGAUCUAGCCAUUCCGCGUAACCGAUCAACGCCUUAGGGUUGUAAAGCUCUUGCAGCUGUGAACAUAUUGACGUUACCCUCAUAAGAAGCCCCGGCUAACUCCGUG
RNAcentral lists this ribosomal RNA (433 nucleotides) under uncultured bacterium. RNAcentral describes it as "partial 16S ribosomal RNA". It matches the Rfam family "Bacterial small subunit ribosomal RNA", at positions 29 to 507 of the family's 1533-position model. The record is from RNAcentral.